UGGAGUCCAGACUGGUUGGACUGGGUC
Molecule: non-coding RNA, 27 nt
Filed under: Mus musculus (house mouse)
Lineage: Eukaryota; Metazoa; Chordata; Mammalia; Rodentia; Muridae
Source: RNAcentral